Long non-coding RNA from Leopardus geoffroyi (Geoffroy's cat), 1124 nucleotides. RefSeq lists it as uncharacterized. The record is from RefSeq and is a predicted model, not a curated record. Lineage: Eukaryota; Metazoa; Chordata; Mammalia; Carnivora; Felidae. The transcript has 2 exons.
GGAAGUGGCCAAGCCAGGGUCACUCACUUAAGUAGGUGGGGAACAGUGGGACUGGAGAAAGAGGAGGAGAAAUCCAGACGCUCAGACACAACACCUUUCGUUCUGAGCCCACCUCCCUGAGGAGAGCAGGAGUCAAUAACUCACGGUGUGACGGCAGGAGGUUGGUGCCAGCCUCACCCGACCAUAGAGGCUGACCACUAGUCAUCCCAUCCCUUCUGAUCCGGAUCCUGAACCCCUCUACCGCCUACAGGAUGAUUUUGUUAUCCACCCACAGCUCUGCCUGCUAAUGCAGAACUGGCCUGUGGGCACAGAACCAGGCCAGGAAGCCCCGAAGGAGACCAGGACAGAAUCCCAGUGACCCCCCCUUCAAGCUGCAUGAUCUUGGGCAAGUUACUCACCUCCCUGUCUCAACUGUAUCUUUUGUGAAAUCUGGGUAAUAAUAGUUAAUAUGAAAGCCACAGGACUAUGUUGAAAAUGUGAUGAGAUUAGAUGAGACACUGAAAAGAGUACAUGUGGGACUCGUGCAUGUGGGAACACAGAUGCUGCGACAGGGGACAGGCACCCAGCAGCAGGCAGAAAGAUCUCACCUCCCCAGGAGACACCGGCCUUCAGCCUCCCGAGAGCUGAGGCCACGCAGGAAGAAACACAGUCCCCUAAGUCGAGUUUCAGGGUUCUUUCUCCACGUUUCCUGGAUCCUCUGUGUCACGGGACUAAGAGAAGCCUGGGCAGAAUCCUGGCUUCCUUCUGGAAUCGGAGAACCUCAGCGCUGUAAAAGACCUUGGCAAUUCAUUGGCCCAGGAACCUCCUUUUAGAAAUGGAGGAAAUGGAAUAUUACGGGAGGCUGAGAAGCUGUGGGGAAGGAGAAAGAGCACAGAGUCAGAAGUUCUAGAACUAUGCCAUCCAGUACAGCAGCCACUAGUCAUAAGUGCCUAGUUAGCGCUAGAAACAUGACAAGUCCAAACUGAGAAGUGCUGUAGCAUAAAAUACACCCCAGAUUUCAGAGACUUAAUAUGAAUAAAGAAUGUUAAAUUACUCAAUAAUUUUUAUAUUGAUUGCAUGUUAAAAUGAUUAUAUUUUGGAUAUAUUGGGUUAAAAAUAUAUUAUUAAAAUUAACAUUACCUGUU